This 254-nucleotide ribosomal RNA is filed under the name uncultured bacterium. Its description in RNAcentral is "partial 16S ribosomal RNA". It matches the Rfam family "Bacterial small subunit ribosomal RNA", at positions 524 to 776 of the family's 1533-position model. The record is from RNAcentral.
UACGUAGGGGGCAAGCGUUGUCCGGAUUUAUUGGGCGUAAAGAGCGUGUAGGCGGCCAAGCAGGUCCGCUGUGAAAACUCGAGGCUCAACCUCGAGACGUCGGUGGAAACCGUUUGGCUAGAGUCCGGAAGAGGAGAGUGGAAUUCCCGGUGUAGCGGUGAAAUGCGCAGAUAUCGGGAAGAACACCCGUGGCGAAGGCGGCUCUCUGGGACGGUACUGACGCUGAGGAGCGAAAAGCGUGGGGAGCGAACAGG